Molecule: unclassified non-coding RNA, 290 nt
Filed under: uncultured Sordariomycetes
Lineage: Eukaryota; Fungi; Ascomycota; Sordariomycetes
Description: sequence contains 5.8S rRNA gene, ITS2, 28S rRNA gene
Source: RNAcentral
AACGCACAUUGCGCCCGCUGGUAUUCCAGCGGGCAUGCCCGUUCGAGCGUCAUUUUAAUCCCUUCCCGGGAGACUCUUCUAUUUCUGUAGUGGAGUCUGCGGGGCGUUGGCACUAGGCGCCUCAUUUUGAGGCGGCUGGAGCCGAAAUGAAGCGGCGGACUCGCGGCGGCCCCUAGCGCAGUAGAACAACCCUUCUCGCUUAGGAGAGCUGCAGCGGCGGACCACAGCCCUAUUACAUAUAAAACCAAAAACUUGACCUCGGAUCGGGUAGGACUACCCGCUGAACUUAA